CUCAGGAUGAACGCUAGCGGCAGGCUUAACACAUGCAAGUCGAGGGGGUAUAGUAGCAAUACUAGAGACCGGCGCACGGGUGCGUAACGCGUAUGCAACCUACCUUUACAGAGGGAUAGCCCAGAGAAAUUUGGAUUAAUACCUCAUAGUGUUAUUAGAUGGCAUCAUUUGAUAACUAAAGUUCCAACGGUAAAAGAUGGGCAUGCGUCCUAUUAGCUAGAUGGUAAGGUAACGGCUUACCAUGGCUACGAUAGGUAGGGGUCCUGAGAGGGAGAUCCCCCACACUGGUACUGAGACACGGACCAGACUCCUACGGGAGGCAGCAGUGAGGAAUAUUGGACAAUGGGCGCAAGCCUGAUCCAGCCAUGCCGCGUGCAGGAAGAAGCAUCUAUGGUGUGUAAACUGCUUUUGUACGGGAAGAAACACUCCUACGUGUAGGAGCUUGACGGUACCGUAAGAAUAAGGAUCGGCUAACUCCGUG
Molecule: ribosomal RNA, 481 nt
Filed under: uncultured bacterium
Lineage: Bacteria
Description: bacterial SSU rRNA
Rfam family: Bacterial small subunit ribosomal RNA
Source: RNAcentral